RNAcentral lists this transfer RNA (73 nucleotides) under Ovis aries (sheep). It matches the Rfam family "tRNA". Rfam says of the family: Transfer RNA (tRNA) molecules are approximately 80 nucleotides in length. Lineage: Eukaryota; Metazoa; Chordata; Mammalia; Artiodactyla; Bovidae. The record is from Rfam by way of RNAcentral.
UCCCUGGCAGUCCAGUGGUUAAAACCCUGCACUCCCAAUGCAGGGGCUACAGGUUCAAUCCCUGAUCAGGAAA